UGAGCCCGGGGAUUUCACAUCUGACUUAACAAACCGCCUGCGUGCGCUUUACGCCCAGUAAUUCCGAUUAACGCUUGCACCCUCCGUAUUACCGCGGCUGCUGGCACGGAGUUAGCCGGUGCUUCUUCUGCGAGUAACGUCAAUCGCUAAGGUUAUUAACCUUAACGCCUUCCUCCUCGCUGAAAGUACUUUACAACCCGAAGGCCUUCUUCAUACACGCGGCAUGGCUGCAUCAGGCUUGCGCCCAUUGUGCAAUAUUCCCCACUGCUGCCUCCCGUAGGAGUCUGGACCGUGUCUCAGUUCCAGUGUGGCUGGUCAUCCUCUCAGACCAGCUAGGGAUCGUCGCCUAGGUGAGCCAUUACCCC
RNAcentral lists this ribosomal RNA (365 nucleotides) under Klebsiella planticola. Its description in RNAcentral is "Raoultella planticola partial 16S rRNA". The record is from RNAcentral. Lineage: Bacteria; Pseudomonadati; Pseudomonadota; Gammaproteobacteria; Enterobacterales; Enterobacteriaceae.